AGAAUCAACGCUGGCGGCGUGCCUAACACAUGCAAGUCGAACGAGAAAGUGGGAGCAAUCCAUGAGUACAGUGGCGCACGGGUGAGUAACACGUGACUAACCGUACCCUUGAGUUCGGAAUAACUUCGGGAAACCGAGGCUAAUACCGGAUAAUAUCUACGGAUCAAAGGAGCAAUUCGCUUAAGGAGGGGGUCGCGGCAGAUUAGUUAGUUGGCGGGGUAAUGGGCCCACCAAGACGAUGAUCUGUA
This 248-nucleotide ribosomal RNA is filed under the name uncultured bacterium. Its description in RNAcentral is "partial small subunit ribosomal RNA". It matches the Rfam family "Bacterial small subunit ribosomal RNA", at positions 26 to 285 of the family's 1533-position model. The record is from RNAcentral.